AUUGAACGCUGGCGGCAUGCCUUACACAUGCAAGUCGAACGGCAGCACGGGUGCUUGCACCUGGUGGCGAGUGGCGAACGGGUGAGUAAUACAUCGGAACAUGUCCUGUAGUGGGGGAUAACCCGGCGGAAGCCGGAGUAAUACCGCAUACGAUCUACGUAUGAAAGCGGGGGACCUUCGGACCUCGCGCUAUAGGGUUAGCCGAUGGCUGAUUAGCUAGUUGUUGGGGUAAAGGCCUACCAAGGCGACGAUCAGUAGCUGGUCUGAGAGGACGACCAGCCACACUGGGACUGAGACACGGCCCAGACUCCUACGGGAGGCAGCAGUGGGGAAUUUUGGACAAUGGGCGAAAGCCUGAUCCAGCAAUGCCGCGUGUGUGAAGAAGGCCUUCGGGUUGUAAAGCACUUUUGUCCGGAAAGAACUCCUUGGCUCUAAUACAGUCGGGGGAUGACGGUACCGGAUGAAUAAGCACCGGCUAACUACGUG
RNAcentral lists this ribosomal RNA (486 nucleotides) under uncultured bacterium. RNAcentral describes it as "partial 16S ribosomal RNA". It matches the Rfam family "Bacterial small subunit ribosomal RNA", at positions 30 to 507 of the family's 1533-position model. The record is from RNAcentral.